RNAcentral lists this microRNA precursor (200 nucleotides) under Oryza glumipatula. RNAcentral's name for it is "MIR812 microRNA precursor family". It matches the Rfam family "MIR812 microRNA precursor family". Lineage: Eukaryota; Viridiplantae; Streptophyta; Magnoliopsida; Poales; Poaceae. The record is from Rfam by way of RNAcentral.
UAUAAGGGAUUUUAAGUUUUUACUUGUACUAUUUGAACACUCGUCUUAUUAAAAAAAUUUAAAAUUAUUAUUUAUUUUUUUACUUACUUUAUCAUCUAUAGUACUUUAAGCAUAACUUUUCGUUUUUUAUAUUUGCACAAAUUUUUUGAAUAAGACGAGUGGUCAAACAGUGCAAGCAAAAACUCAAAAUCGCUUGUAUU